AGAGUUUGAUCCUGGCUCAGGAUGAACGCUGGCGGCGUGCAUAACACAUUCAAGUCGAACGGACGACUCGGAGCUUGCUCCGGGAAGUUAGUGGCGGACGGGUGAGUAACGCGUGAGCAACCUGCCUGUGUGAGCGGAAUAACGUCCGGAAACAGACGCUAAUACCGCAUGACUCACGGACUUCGCAUGGAGACCGUGGCAAAGAUUUAUCGCACACAGAUGGGCUCGCGUCCGAUUAGGCAGUUGGUGAGGUAACGGCUCACCAAACCGACGAUCGGUAGCCGGACUGAGAGGUUGAACGGCCACAUUGGAACUGAGAAACGGUCCAGACUCCUACGGGAGGCA
This 345-nucleotide ribosomal RNA is filed under the name uncultured bacterium. RNAcentral describes it as "bacterial SSU rRNA". It matches the Rfam family "Bacterial small subunit ribosomal RNA", at positions 8 to 350 of the family's 1533-position model. The record is from RNAcentral.